This 429-nucleotide ribosomal RNA is filed under the name Rhinoclemmys rubida. RNAcentral's name for it is "partial 12S ribosomal RNA". It matches the Rfam family "Eukaryotic small subunit ribosomal RNA", at positions 1010 to 1683 of the family's 1831-position model. The record is from RNAcentral. Lineage: Eukaryota; Metazoa; Chordata; Testudines; Geoemydidae.
AGAUACCCCACUAUGCUUAGCCCUAAACUCAGAUAUUUACCACACAAAAAUAUCCGCCAGAGAACUACGAGCAAGACGCUUAAAACUCUAAGGACUUGGCGGUAUCUCAAACCCCCCUAGAGGAGCCUGUUCUACAAUCGAUAAUCCACGAUCCACCCCACCAUCCCUUGCCAAUACCGCCUAUAUACCGCCGUCACCAGCUUACCCUAUGAAGGACACAAAGCAAGCAAAAUAGUUAAAACAACUAACAAGUCAGGUCAAGGUGUAGCUAAUUGAGAUGGAAGAAAUGGGCUACAUUUUCUAUACUAGAAAUUAAUUUACGGAAAGGACUAUGAAACAAGCCCUAUAAGUAGGAUUUAGCAGUAAAUCGGAGUCAGAAUACCCGACUUAAGCCGGUCCUGAGAUACGCACACACCGCCCGUGGCCCUC